Molecule: non-coding RNA, 510 nt
Filed under: Pongo abelii (Sumatran orangutan)
Lineage: Eukaryota; Metazoa; Chordata; Mammalia; Primates; Hominidae
Source: RNAcentral
AGCGAUUUAAGAGCCUCGGAAAUUUCCUUUAAGGUCAGGAGAGAAGCUGGUAACAGAUGGGGCGAAGGAGGAAAAGUUCUUUUUGCGGCACCCUCACGCCUUCCCAGCCCUUUCGCGGUUUACUCGCUCCCUGGAAAGCAGGGCAUUCAGGCAGCCCUGAGGAGAGGUCCACAUGGUGAGCCACUGAGGGCCUUGCCAAGAGCCAGCACCAACGUGCCAGGUUUGGAGUAUACCACCUUGGAAGUGAAUCUUCCAGUCCAGUCAAGCCUUCAGAUGACUUCAGAACCGUCCAUGUAAGCCACUCUUGGAUUCCUGACCCACAGAAACUGUUGGAGUAAGUGACGUUGCUGAAGCACCAAUGAAAAUGAAGUCCUGAAGUCCUGUGCUCAAUAUGAAAUGUUGGAAGUUAGAAAGAAAAAAACAAAAUGUGGAUCCAAUCUCAAGGCACUUUUGGUUUAAUGGGAAGAAGUGGAUUAUUUUAAAAGCUACAAAUAAAGUUACAUAAAAGUA